RNAcentral lists this unclassified non-coding RNA (517 nucleotides) under Hevea brasiliensis (rubber tree). The record is from RNAcentral. Lineage: Eukaryota; Viridiplantae; Streptophyta; Magnoliopsida; Malpighiales; Euphorbiaceae.
GAAAAAAAAAAAAACAAAGAUAAUUACAAUAAAGCGACAGGUCCUUACAAAAGGGAAAUGAAGAAUAAGGCCACAUAAACAUUGCUUGUGUAUAUAUAGUACACAGACAACAUCCGAAUCUCUGAUUUGAGUGCAGCAAUCCCUACGCUGCCCUACAUACCCUGCUGUGAGCAACCUGUAUCCAGCUUAUGCUCUGCCGUAGGGGCCGCCUGACUCUGCAGAAGAGUAAACUGACUCCUCCAGAAUUCCGACUGCAGAUAACAUGAUGAUGACCACCUGGAAUUUUCUCCACUUCCCAGGUCAUGGUUACCUGGACGGUAGUGAAGUGGAUGGAAAUGAUGAAACUCUAUGUCCUUUAGACUUUUUUAAGCGAAGGAAUGAUUGUGGAUGAUGAAUCAAGCAAACAAUCGUUGAGAGUGAGACCAGUCCCUUAUGGUGUUGAGCUCUAGUGCAAUAAUUGACUGUUGCCAUAGUGGAGCUGUUACCCUUCCUUUGCAGGAUGAGCAGGUAAUCCAUA